UGGGGAAUAUUGGACAAUGGGGGCAACCCUGAUCCAGCAAUGCCGCGUGUGUGAAGAAGGUCUUCGGAUUGUAAAGCACUUUCGACGGGGACGAUGAUGACGGUACCCGUAGAAGAAGCCCCGGCUAACUUCGUGCCAGCAGCCGCGGUAAUACGAAGGGGGCUAGCGUUGCUCGGAAUGACUGGGCGUAAAGGGCGUGUAGGCGGUUUACACAGUCAGAUGUGAAAUCCCCGGGCUUAACCUGGGAGCUGCAUUUGAUACGUGUAGACUAGAGUGUGAGAGAGGGUUGUGGAAUUCCCAGUGUAGAGGUGAAAUUCGUAGAUAUUGGGAAGAACACCGGUGGCGAAGGCGGCAACCUGGCUCAUGACUGACGCUGAGGCGCGAAAGCGUGGGAGCAACAGGUUAGAUA
Molecule: ribosomal RNA, 409 nt
Filed under: uncultured bacterium
Lineage: Bacteria
Description: partial 16S ribosomal RNA
Rfam family: Bacterial small subunit ribosomal RNA
Source: RNAcentral